Molecule: long non-coding RNA, 8534 nt
Organism: Equus caballus (horse)
Lineage: Eukaryota; Metazoa; Chordata; Mammalia; Perissodactyla; Equidae
Source: Ensembl
GGGAAAUCAGUGGUGGUGGGAGAUGUGAGGGCCUGGCUUCUCUUCUCCCGCCCCCUUUCUGCUCUCCGUCUUCUUGGGGUUGGGGGAGGGGCCAGUUUGGGAUGGAAGGGCCCCUCCCUCCAGGCUCUAAAGGUUCUGUGGCCCCUCCUCCGCCCGGCCUCAGGUCUCCCAGCAACCGUCUAAUCAAACGCAACGCUGUCCCCGCUGAGCUGAUGAGAACUAGGGCUGUCCAGGAGGCAGACACCCCGCCCCAUGGGCAAAGCGUCUCACCUUCACCCCAGAAAACAUGUCAACAGCUUCCCUGUGCCUGCACACCUAUUCACGGGCUGGAUGCUUAAGACAAAAAAGAUGUCCCUGACCACAGAGAGCCCAGUGGUCCAGUGGGAGAUCUGCUCUGGAUGAACAGAAAUGCGAGAGAAGUUGAUCCUAAGAGCAGUGCAAACACAGUCGAGCUGGAAAGGAGGACACAUCACGAGUCCAGGGAAUUAACAUGAACCACAAACAGGCCACGGGAGAGUGGAGGACCCGAAGGACCACCAUCUCCUCAUCAGGCUCUGACUCAGUUUCCUUGUCUGUAGAAUGGAUCACUGAACUAGCUCCUUGUGGACUUGAGAUGCAUUCUUCGAGCUUUGGAGUUCUAUAGGGGAGCUUGGACCAUUUCAGGGGGUAAUCGGGAGAGCAGAACAUGCGGGUCCAGCCCCCCACCCCCACUUCAACGAGAGCGAGAACUCUUAGCUGUUUUAUAUUUUGGAUUUCAGUGUGAAUUAAGUUCGUUAAAGGGUUGUACCACUUUUAAGCCCCUCUACCCUCUGUAAACUACUGGACUAGAUGAUUUCUUGGGUCUCUUCCAGCUCCGAGCUUAGAAUUGUCUCCUUUCUCUUAGAGUCAGCCCUUUCUCUACUGAGAAGGACAGAGAGAGAAACAAAUCCUGAGCUCUGAUUGCCAGUGGCCCCGUUAGGAAAUUCCACCCAAGGUCUGAUGUCCUGGGUGGACUCCUUCCCAAAUGCCCUGAGGAGUUCAGCCCCUCCGCCAAACCAGAAUAAACUGAUGAGCUGAUUCCUGGAAUUCCACUGUUAGAGCACCAUCCCUUUCAUUUAAGCCAAAGUCCCCCAAUUUUUUUUCAUGAGGAUGAAUUACAUUUCCUUUCAGUGAAUAGUGAAAAAGAGAGCUUGGGUUGCUGCCGAUAUACCUACAAGUUGUAUAAGAAGAGGGGGUUGUUAUUAUUGGCAAAGGCCAAAGUUUGGACAGCAGCCCACCAAAGGGCUCAGAGAUGUCCCAGCUAAGGCUUUCAGAGGGGAUGGAGGGUCUCCAGGGACGCCGAAGGAAAUUGUCAAGUAAUCAAAGAAUGAAUGGACAAACAAAGAGGCCAUUGCCAAAAUGGGCUUCUCUCUUGAAAGGGCCAGUGUAGAUGCUGUUAUCAGUCAUGUUUACCUUGGUGUGAGUGAAGUCUCUUAGAGCAAGAAUUGGUGGGGAGGAGGAAAGGUUUUAGAAACUAGAUGUCACUAUAUAAAAACAUAACACAAAAAGAAAGGUGACGAGGGCAAGACAGUCACUCGAAUAACUCUGUCCUGGCCUGGACCACCUGCCAUCUCCCAUCUUACCUCACCCAACCCCUAGCCUCCUCUUCACACUCUGCCUUUCUUCCCUGGAGGCCCAGCCCAGCUCAGGGCCUGGUGCUGAAAAGAGCUUUCAGGGUGAAGGGAAAGAUAUUUGGCCUGGAGCAGGUGGGGAGAGAAAGGGGGUGUCAGUCUGUGCCAUCCUGAUGGGUGUGGCCCACUCAGGGUAAACAUGGAGGAGGGGCAGUGGCUUCCAGCCUCCUGAGCGAUGGGGAGGAAGGAGUGGAAAUUCCUACCUGCCUUCUGCUCCCUUCCCCACCUGCAGCCACAGCCCUGCACGUCACAAACAAAGCUCCGGUAGGAAGUCAAGGAGUCUUUGCAAUGGCAUCUGCCCCUGCCCAGGGCCUCUGCCCUUGGCAGGAUCCAGGACAGGCCUUGGCUCCAGCCUUCAGCGCCUGGACCCCAGGACCGCCCACAGUCUCAGAGGCCUCUGCCCUGGCCCACUUCCCCGGCCCCAUUCCCCACUUAGGAGCAGCUUCUGUCUGCAAAGCCGGGGUAGGUUUAAAAAAACAAAAUCGAUAGAAACUCCAGCGGGUCUUGCACAUUCUUGGUUGAGAAGUCAGGUGUGCAACUUAGAACAACAGGCCACUUCACCUCUCUGGAUUUCAGAGUCUUCCUCAACGGACAAAAUCAGCGUGAAGACAGCUUGAAAAGUAUACAGCCCCUUUCAAGGGUCAGCAAUAAAUAUUAGGCCACUUAAUCGUGGGUUCAAAUCUUGCCUCCACCUCCCACUAGCUGGGUGCUCUUAGCCAAGUUACUAAGUUUUUGGCACCUCAGUUUGCUCAUCAGAGGUGCUCCUGUGACCUAUCUCAAAACUUUGGGAGGUGGGUUAAAUGAGAUAAUGUGUGCAAACCACCCAGCCCAGGCCCCACAGGUAGCAGAGGUUACUUGUCUAUGACUAAAUUCCCUCGAACUGGAGAUUGUAAGAUGCACCGUUGUUUUAUGUUCCACUAAGAAAGAAAUGCUGCUGUCAAUGGAUUGAGAGACACAUCUCAGAUUUCAGAGACAUGUGCACCUUAGAAUUGAUGAAAUACUGUAUCAUUGGGAGGACGAGGAGGGGGCAAGAAGAAUGUCAGUCCCGGGGCUGGCCUUGGCAAGCCAUGCUGUGGUACGUGUCCCACGUAUAAAGUAGAGGAAGAUGGGCACGGCUGUUAGCUUAGGGCCAGUCUUCCUCAGCAAAAAAGAGGAGGAUUGGUAGCAGAUGUUAGCUCAGGGCUAAUCUUCCUCAAAAAGAAUAAAAAAAAGACUGUCAAUCCCAGUGGUAGUAGCUUUCCAUUUGGGAUGCAUUUUAGACUAGGAUGCCCAGAUUGCAUCCCAAUUAAACCAUAACCUCUGGGGUGUGGCCCAGUAAUCUCUCUGUGCCUUGGUCUCCCGCUCUAUAAAACUGGGAUAAUUCUAGAAUCUACUUCUGGGGCUGUUGUAUUGAAUGAGCUAAUUCAUGUAAACAAUUUAGAAUAGUGCCAGGCCCACAGAAAUGUUGAAAUAAAUGUUAACGAUUACUCAACUCUGUACCCCAGGUCCUGGCACACUCUAGGUGCUUCCUAAAUGUGGGUUGAAUAGAGGAGUAAACACCGUCAUGUGACUGCUGCCCUGCCGGCCUGGCCCCCAACUGGGAGAGGCCCAAGUCUGGGGGCGGCCUCUGUCUGGGGGUGGGGGCCCAAGAAGAGGCUCACCUGCCCAAGGGCCUUCUGUCCAAAGUUCAAGGGAGCCGCACCCUUCCCUUCCUGGGCGCUGCACCCCGCCCCCUAGGGCUGCCGUGGGGUGGGCGCUCCCCCGCCAGACCCGCCACAGCCUCCUGGAGUCAAUGACAAGAAGCAAACCUCUCCCCCGGUCUCCACCCCUCCCCUUUCCUGCUUUUCUUAUGUUCUUUUCCAUAAAGAUUAGUCUGUGUUGCUCCUCUAUCAAGGCCUGGAGGAUAAACAUGUGGUCCAGAGGCAGAGAAACCCCAGGCUUGAAGGCCCCGCUGCCCCCACCCAGGCAGCGUAAACCCAGGGCUUUUAAGCAAGGAAUGGUUUUCAGUAAAUCUCUCCUAUCAGCAGAAACCUUUGAAAGAGUUUGUUUAAAGGCCAGGGAGAUAAACAGCAAGGAGAAGUGUUUGUUUAAGAUGUAUGUUCUGUGUGGCCACUCUGGGGCCCGGAUUCACAUCUAAGGGAGAGGAGCCACUCAGAGACCAGGGUGGGGGCCUCCCAGGGGCGCCCAGGGCCUGUGGGUGUGGACUCCAGCCCAGGCAGGGACGGAGUUGUCAGGGGAGAGAAGCGAGCUGGACUGCACCUGCAGGCCCCUCCCAGGCUGGGGCAGGACACGGGGGUGGAAAGGAGCUGCAGGAAGGGGAAGGAGCCCUCCUCACCCUGUCAGGAGGGCAGGGAGGGGCUCCCAGAAGGAGCUGCUGGUUGGCUGCAGGCAGAAAUCCCCCGGGAAGCCCGCUGCCCCGCCCCCAACUCAAAGUUCAGAACAGGCCCAGCUCAGGGCCCACCCCAGAUGGCCCAUACUCAGCAGCCCAAAAUAAAGGAGGACUCGAAUCUGGGUAUCGCAGGCUCUGACCUUGGACAAGCCACCUACCCCAUAACUCGAGCCCUAGUUCCUCUCUGUUGUGAAAAUAACACGCCUGUCUCAAAGGAUUUUGAAUAUUCCUCUUUCCAUCUGACGAACAGGCAUUGAGUACCUGCUUUAUACCAGAUACUGUUCUGAGUGCUUGGGAUACAACGGUAAACAAAAUAAACCAAGUCUCUGCCCAUUUGGAACCUAAAAUGGAGGGAAAUAGACAAUGAGCAUGAUAAUGAGUAAAUUACAUAUUACAUUAGAAGGUGAUGGGGGCCAGCCCCAUGGCCGAGUGGUUGAGUUCACACGCUCCACUUCGGCAGCCCAGGGUUUCGCUGGUUUAGAUCCUGGGCGCGGACAUGGCACCGCUCGUCAAGCCAUGCUGAGGCGGCGGCCCACAUGCCACAACUAGGAGGACCCACAACUAAAAAAAAAAAAUACACAACUAUGUACCAGGGGACUUUGGGGAGAAAAAGAAAAAAUAAAAUCUUAAAGAAAAAAAAAAAAAAAAGAGGCAGAAGGUGAUGGGAGCUAUGGAAAGAAAUGGAGCAGGGUACAAGGAAUUGGGAAUGGAUGGUCUGGUUUGGGCUAACUGAGCAGGUGGCUUUGAAGGAGAUGCAGAUCUCAGAGGGGAGAGGGGUCCAGGCAGAACCUCAGCCAGGGCAACACCUGGGGAACUGAAUGAAAUGCCCUGUGUGAAACGCAUGGCACAAGCUCUGGAGCAUGGUCCUGUGGUCAUAAAUAAUGGCGGAUGUUGUCGUUAAAGCAAUUAUUAGGGCAGGGGGGCUCUCAGGGAGGAAGCAGGACCUGAGCUGGGCUUCCCCUGGAAUUCCUUGUCCCUACCAAGUAGACAGGAGAUAAGGCAUCUCUGGAGCAAAGCAUCUUGGAGAUGGGGAGACAGGCAGACUAAUGACAGGGCUCGUGGUACCUGAGGAGUCUGGGGACAAAGGCAGCUGGAUUCUCUAGGAAAGCCCUCAGCCAGGAGCAGGAGUCUGGGCUCAGGUCCUGGCUCUGCCCCUUGCCUGCCAGGUCAUCUGGAGCAAGUGAAGUGACUUACUGCUCCCUGGGUCUUUCUUUCCAGUAAAUGGGAAUAAUAUAUCCUGCCCUCACAGGACGAUCGGGAGGAUGGAAGGGGGCACAGUGGGUGCUUGUGCCUGGGACACAGUAGAUGCUCGGUAAACAUUAGGUGUAUUUUGGGCUCUCUCAUUCUUUCAGAGUCCUUUUCGGUUCUUCCAUGGGAGGCUGAGCUGGCUGGUGAUGGGCCCAGCAGGUCCCAGAAUUGAAGAAGCUGUUGGAUCACUGAGCAUUGUCAUCAUGCAGCUGCAAGGCUGUCCCACUGGGGAAAGUUUAGAUUUGUUCCUGGGCUCCAAACGGAAGGUGGGAAUUCCAGGGAAACAGAUUUUCACUGCUCUCAGGAGGAAUUUUCCAGUAGCGAGAGCGGUGCAGCAGUGGAAUGGAUCUCUUGAGAGUUGGUGAGCUCCUGCUGAUGGGAGUCCUGUGAGCAGAGGUGGCUGAGUUUUGGAUGGAGAUUAAGCAGAGGGGCCCCCUGCUCUGGGAGGAGUUUGGGGAUCCCUCCCAGCUGUGAGAUUGGGGGCCCUAUUCGAGGCUCCACAGUCCACGGAGAUCUGCCUACACUCCAGACUUCCUCCAUUACCUCGUGAAAACUUGCCUGACUUGUGUCCUUAGGGUUCUGCCAUGAGAGGCCAGCAUAUUAGUCCUGCCAGGUAACCCAGGGGCAGUUAACAGGGUAAGGAUGUGUUAACUCAAAGGUAUGAGGAACGGAGCAAUUUCAGGCACCGUGAGAGACCGAGGGACAGAGAUGUUUGGGGAAACGUGCCGGAGUAGUUUAGCAGAUAAUUCCUAGUACCCUGCAAACUCUACCUACAAGAAGAUGAACUUCGGCUAAGAUCACAGACCUGAGGGCCCCCCUCGACCCUCCUCAAGAACCAGCAGAAGGACCAGGGGAUCUCUGGGCGCCUUCUCCCUGCCGCACAGAUGCCUUGCCAAGGAGAACUCGCUUGCCUGGCAGCUGGAAGCCUGCACUUUUCUUUUCAAAGCCUCUGCAUCUCCUUUCCCUCCUCCUUCCUCCACCCCCCCCCCCCAAAAAAGGAGGAUGCCCCUUCUGUUGAGUACACAGCCUGUAAUUUUGCUGUCAGAUCUCAGCCAGGAGGUCAGUGUUGUGACUGACUGUGUAAGGAUCGCUCCCUUAAGGGUAAUUACACUAAAUUCCCCUCUGAAGGACAGCUCUCUCUGGAUAGAAUACAAGAAAACCCCGCAUCCCCCAUUCACGGAAAUUCAUGAUUUCUGUGGUUGUCACCGGCACCCGGGCAGCGAGACACUGAGACGCUCCAACUACUCAGAGGUUGGCUUUCGGUGCCCAUCACCUGCUCUGCCCUGUACUAGGCACUGAAGGGGGACCCAGAGAUGGGCAGCAGCCCCCUCUGAAAAGAGCUGGAGGGCUCUUGGGCAAAACAAAGCAGCCCCACAUGAAAAGUGAGUUAGUAUCCAAGCCCCCCACCCUCCCCGCCACCACCAUCCCCAGACCCCUUCAGAGGGGCAACGCCCUGACCUUUGUCCCCAUCUGCCUGGAGGUAGGAUGGCAGAAAUGGCCAAGACCUUCCAAAGGGAGUAUCCGCACCUCAGCAGCCCCUGCACGGGCCCUUCUCCCCACCCCAGGGAGACCCAGCGAGAGUUGGGGAGUCACUCACCCACGACAAACAGUUAAAAGGAAGAAAGCGGGUCUGGCGAUAUCAAUGCACUUUGAUAACAAUAAACUCCGCUUUUAAUUUAUGCUAAUGUGUAGGGCUGUGGUGACAGUAAGAACUAAAUUACAGAGUGGCUUUCGAGCUGGUAAUUAUCCCUCCAUUUUUCGCUGCUCUGGAAGAUGGACACACAAUUAUGCUCUCUUGCUGUAUAUUAAUACAGAUUCUUGACAUCUUCAGCAGACCUGGAGCUGUCAUGGAGCUUUUUGUCUCCUUUAAUUGAAAAUUAAUGGUUACUGGGUUGCCACGGAAACAGAGGCCACGGACGCCAGUGGCGCUCACGUCUCACCGAGGGACUGCCGGCGUCAGGAGUCCGGAAUGACCUUGAAAGUUAAAAGAAAAAAAAAAACUUAAAAAAGAAGGGGAGAGGGGGGAAAUGAGGACAGGAGGCUGGGAGAGUGUGUCAGAGCUGAAAGAAGAGAGGAGAGAGAGAGAAGAGAAAGAAAGGAGAGAAAGGAAGAGGGAGAGAAAGGAGAGGAAAAGAAAAGAUAAGAAUUAAAAAGAGAAAAUUGCAGAGGUUGGGAGCAGGGAAGCUUGAGAGGGGACAUUAAAGUGGUAAGUUUUACCUCUUGGUUUUUGUCUCUUACAUUUUUUCUAAAGGCCCGUUGAAACACUGGGAGCUGGGUCUCAGCUCCAAAAUCCUUGAUUCUACAAAUCUGUGUGAGGAAGAAUGACAGCAUCGCCCAGAGCCCCCGAGGGGAAGUGACAAAGGCUCCUGGGUGCCAUGGGCAGCAGCAGCAGACCAGGGGGCAGGGUGGAGGUGUGCGGUGUGGGCACCUCCCCAGGGCCAAGUGGGCUGUGCUGUCGAAAACGGGGGCUGCAGAGGGGACUUUGUCAUGGGGAGCCCGGGAGCUGCCCCAACAUUGCUCCCGCAGCAGUGAGCAGGUGAAAGGGCUCUGUUGGCUGGGCCUUCAGCCUGAAGACACAACAAAAGAACUCAAAUGAGUCAGAGAUGGGGGUACGAUGACGAAGCGGGAGGGUCCUGGCAGGGGGAGGCCAGGGGUGGUUUGCCCAGGAAGAUAAGAGAUAAAGGGAGGCAGUUCUCUGAGCCUCUAGGACAGCCCUCCAGGGAGGCCAGUGGCUCUGGGCUUAGGAAUGUUUUUUCCCUAAGAGAAGGUGGCAGGCUCAACUUAGGGGCACUGGGGACCCCUGAGCAUUCUAGCAGGAAAGGUGGGCUCUUUCCUGAUCAGCCCACCAUACCAGUUCUUCAGUCCUGAGCAUCAGCUCCAGAAAUACAAUUCAAUUCAACAAUUACUGGAUGUCCACAGUGAACCAGGAGCCAAGCUAGUGCAUCAGACGCAGAGCCGGCUCCCACUCCAGGCUCGGGGCAGACAGACACAUUAACAAACAAUUGCAAAAUUAGCUACCCCUCAGAGAUUUCUCUGCAAGGAUGUUCAUCACAGUAUUGUUUAUACUAGCAAAAAUCUAGAAAUAAUCUGGAUGACCAGCAAUUGAGAAUUGAUAAAAUGACAUGCCUUACCAUAUACCCCAAAGAUGGCACUGCACAGUCAUUUUAAAUUAUACUGAAGUCAAAUUAUAUUCAGUGACCUGGGGGAAAAGUUCACAAUAUUUUGUUUAGUGAAAAAAACAGUUUACAAAAUGGUAAUGUAUUCAUGAU